AGAGUUUGAUCCUGGCUCAGAUUGAACGCUGGCGGUAUGCUUAACACAUGCAAGUCGAACGGAAACGAUACUAGCUUGCUAGUAGGCGUCGAGUGGCGGACGGGUGAGUAACGCGUAGGAAUCUGCCUGAUAGUGGGGGAUAGCCCGGAGAAAUUCGGAUUAAUACCGCAUAAUCUACACGUAGUAAAGGAGGCCUCUAUUAUUAAGCUUUCGCUAUCAGAUGAGCCUGCGUAAGAUUAGCUUGUUGGUGAGGUAAAAGCUCACCAAGGCGACGAUCUUUAGCUGGUCUGAGAGGAUGAUCAGCCACACUGGGACUGAGACACGGCCCAGACUCCUACGGGAGGCAGCAGUGGGGAAUAUUGGACAAUGGGGGCAACCCUGAUCCAGCAAUACCGCGUGUGUGAAGAAGGCCUGAGGGUUGUAAAGCACUUUCAAUUGUGAAGAAAAGCUAAAGGUUAAUAACCUUUAGCCUUGACGUUAACUUUAGAAGAAGCACCGGCUAACUCCGUGCCAGCAGCCGCGGUAAUACGGAGGGUGCAAAGCGUUAAUCGGAAUUACUGGGCGUAAAGCGUGCGUAGGUGGUUUGUUAAGUCAGAUGUGAAAGCCCCCGGGCUCAACCUGGGAACUGCAUUUGAAACUGGCUAACUACA
This 650-nucleotide ribosomal RNA is filed under the name uncultured marine bacterium. RNAcentral describes it as "bacterial SSU rRNA". It matches the Rfam family "Bacterial small subunit ribosomal RNA", at positions 8 to 645 of the family's 1533-position model. The record is from RNAcentral.